Molecule: long non-coding RNA, 2380 nt
Organism: Phyllostomus discolor (pale spear-nosed bat)
Lineage: Eukaryota; Metazoa; Chordata; Mammalia; Chiroptera; Phyllostomidae
Exons: 2
Source: RefSeq, a predicted model, not a curated record
CUGAGCUUGUGAGAGUUACAGCCUCCAACAAGUCAUGUCUGAUGGAGGACUGCACAAGUGUGCAAAGGUGUGUGAGCACUUGCAUUUGCACAUGGCUUGUAAAGCACAGAAGUCAGUGUAGUGGGAGCUGGGGGCCUGAGCAGAGGAAGAAGCCUAAAGGUGAAAUGAAAUUCGUUUAAGUUGCUUAAGUGAUCAGAAAAAGUUUUGCAAAAACUGAGUGUUUGGGUAUGCUCUUAGAAAUUAUCUUCACAGUCAAUUCACUCAUUAGUUAUGGAGAUGUCACCAGCACUCAGGUCAGAAAGCACAAAAGGAUACUAAAAUGAAAAAUAAAAAGGUACAAAUCAGCACACUUGAUCACACUCUGGAGGAACUCAACACUUACAGCUCAACUUAUAAAUAAGUAACCACAGCUGCAGCCCACUGACUCAGUGAGGCAUUGUCUCCCAGAGUGAAGGGAACCGGGGAAGAUAACAUGCUCCCGGAAGCACCCUCACAAAAAUGAGAUUUUUGUCCCAAAUGGCAAAAAUCAAUACAGCCAAAGACUUCCCAUGUAUUUUGAUGGUGGUGGUGGUGGUGGUGGUGGUGGUGGUGGUGGUGGUGGUCUGAGCAGAGAAUGACACACACUCUUAUGAUCAGUCUUUCUAUUAUGUACUGAGCGCUGCCAAUUCCUAGGCACUCCUUCCUAAAAGGGUGUAUUCCCAGCUACUCUUCUCUGUUCACACAAGUUCCUCAUAAAACAGCUCUACCACCAGCACACAAGGGCCUACAGGUAAAGGAGUAGCCUACACGUACACCAAGAAGGCUGACACAGAGACUCAGUGAAGUCCCUUCCCUGCCCUAGAGCCAGAUGUCAGAUGUAGACAUUUUCCCAUCAGGCUCUGGACAGGGCAGCAUUCAGACUAAGACCCCAUCCUAACUUAGUGUCAAGUUCUCCUCAGCCGAAGCCCAGCAUGGUGACAGUCCCCAGGGUACCCUGGAGAGCCUGCCUGGUGUGGGUGACUCAGUAAGUCCUUCCUCAGAACAUGUCUGCUCCACGAAGCCCACACACUAGCUGGAACACCUCCAGCUCCUCAGGCUCUAGGACUGGCACGCUGAGAUCACCCAACUGGCAAGAAUAUGUGAAAUGAUGACACCAACAGCUGCAUCUUCUGACUAGAAACAGUGCUAAGAAGUCACUGAAAGCAAAGCCCAGGAGGUUAACAUUCGUGAGCAAUUUCAAUUGUGGAAGAGAAAUGGGUUUUAAAAAAUGUGUAUCAUAAAAAUUCCUUUAGACCCUUUUCAUUCUGGAUAAUAGGAUUUAUUAAUUUGCUUGUUUGUUUGUUUAGGUUUUCUUUUUUCUUUUCUUGGCAAACAAAGUGGACUAACAGGUCAUUUAUCUCCUGUUCACAUUUUAGAUUUCAGCAUUCACAGUCAUCCUCCUUGCAAAAUUCAUAAAUUCAAACUGAAAACACAAUUAAUGGUUGGCCCCUAAACAGAAAUUCCAUGAAGCAGAAUCAGUAUCUAUUCUUGCUUAACAAAUAAUCCUCACUGCCUAUCAGCACCUGGCACACCACACCAGCAUUUCUUCCUCAUGGUUCUCACUGCAUUCCCAAGCAAGCUCGGUGCACAUUGCGUGGACACAUGCAUGACGUCAGGACAUGCAGGCCACUUGGCUAGUCCCCUCCACCACUAGCAUAGGGAAGCACAUGUCAGGCACUAUGUGACUGAUCUGGGCUGAUGGCCAAAUAAGCUUUCAUACCUUUUUUUUAAAUCCUGUUUCCUUAAGGAACAGGUCUCUCUUCAUUUCCUUCCAAAGGCAAACACUAGAUCCUAAAAAACAGGGAAUGCACCUCAUUUGAGACAUUCUCCUGAAUAACCACAUGAUGUGGUUACAGGGCAGAAAAAAGAAAAAUCUGGAGGGGACACAUUUGUGCCAAUGUACACAAAUACCCAAUUAUUACAAGAGGAUCCUUAUAAAUUGUUUCACAUCAAUACAGAUAUGGAGUUGGAACAAGUCACACCUUAUCUUUAUUAGAUGCUCUAUUAUUAAACUUUAUAAGAAUGUGACUGUGAUUACCUGGCCCUACUAAGGAUUAUGUGAAGACAAACAAAUUUGGUGCUAGUAAAAUUCUGAAAAACAGAAGUUUCAUAAAGAUAAGUACACUACUGGCUUCUGGGAAAGGAUAUGCACAUACAAAAAGCAACAACAGCUAACAUGCCUAAGGUGACAUCAUCUUCCAAACACUGGUUUUACCCUCACAACAACCCCCAUGCAAUAAAUCAGUGAUUCUCAGCCUUUUUCAUCUCAUGGUGCGCACACACACUAAUUACUAGAAAUCUGUGGCACACCAAAAACUGUUUUUGCCAAUAUGACCAAGAAGUUAUAAUUUUGAUUGAUUUA